Molecule: small RNA, 68 nt
Filed under: Chryseobacterium limigenitum
Lineage: Bacteria; Pseudomonadati; Bacteroidota; Flavobacteriia; Flavobacteriales; Weeksellaceae
Description: Flavo-1 RNA
Rfam family: Flavo-1 RNA
Source: RNAcentral
CCCUAGCCCCGAUUGUAGAGGAAAUCCUUUUUUGAAAAAAAAGAUUGCAACGGAAAGCGGGAAAAAGC